This is a non-coding RNA of Sulfurovum sp. FS06-10, 131 nucleotides long. The record is from Rfam. Lineage: Bacteria; Pseudomonadati; Campylobacterota; Epsilonproteobacteria; Campylobacterales; Sulfurovaceae.
GUAGUUGAUUGGUGUGUAGAUAUUUUCGUUUGAGCUUGGUUUUCCAAGCGAGAAUCUAUCUCCUAAAGGUCACUCGCUCCUACACCGUUGGCUUAUUAGGGCCGACUUUUAUGCAGAACGGCCGUUCGGGU